Molecule: ribosomal RNA, 253 nt
Filed under: uncultured bacterium
Lineage: Bacteria
Description: partial 16S ribosomal RNA
Rfam family: Bacterial small subunit ribosomal RNA
Source: RNAcentral
UACGUAGGGGGCAAGCGUUGUCCGGAUUUAUUGGGCGUAAAGAGCGUGUAGGCGGCCAUACAGGUCCGUUGUGAAAACUGGAGGCUUAACCUCCAGACGUCGAUGGAAACCGUGUGGCUAGAGUCCGGAAGAGGAGAGUGGAAUUCCUGGUGUAGCGGUGAAAUGCGCAGAUAUCAGGAGGAACACCGGUGGUGUAGACGGCUUUCUGGACCGUAACUGACGCUGAAACACGAAAGCGUGGGUAGCAAACAGG